This 497-nucleotide ribosomal RNA is filed under the name uncultured bacterium. RNAcentral's name for it is "partial 16S ribosomal RNA". It matches the Rfam family "Bacterial small subunit ribosomal RNA", at positions 28 to 507 of the family's 1533-position model. The record is from RNAcentral.
GAUGAACGCUGGCGGCGUGCCUAAUACAUGCAAGUCGAGCGAACGGACGAGAAGCUUGCUUCUCUGAUGUUAGCGGCGGACGGGUGAGUAACACGUGGAUAACCUACCUAUAAGACUGGGAUAACUUCGGGAAACCGGAGCUAAUACCGGAUAAUAUUUUGAACCGCAUGGUUCAAAAGUGAAAGACGGUCUUGCUGUCACUUAUAGAUGGAUCCGCGCUGCAUUAGCUAGUUGGUAAGGUAACGGCUUACCAAGGCAACGAUGCAUAGCCGACCUGAGAGGGUGAUCGGCCACACUGGAACUGAGACACGGUCCAGACUCCUACGGGAGGCAGCAGUAGGGAAUCUUCCGCAAUGGGCGAAAGCCUGACGGAGCAACGCCGCGCGAGUGAUGAAGGUCUUCGGAUCGUAAAACUCUGUUAUCAGGGAAGAACAUAUGUGUAAGUAACUGUGCACAUCUUGACGGUACCUAAUCAGAAAGCCACGGCUAACUACGUG